AAUGUCUGAAAUGAUGAUAUAUGUUGGUAGGGACAUCUGAAACACUUGAGGAAACGCCAACUUUACUGACUAGACAUG
Molecule: small nucleolar RNA, 78 nt
Organism: Esox lucius (northern pike)
Lineage: Eukaryota; Metazoa; Chordata; Actinopteri; Esociformes; Esocidae
Product: small nucleolar RNA SNORD74
Source: Ensembl